Molecule: long non-coding RNA, 1009 nt
Organism: Chelonoidis abingdonii (Abingdon island giant tortoise)
Lineage: Eukaryota; Metazoa; Chordata; Testudines; Testudinidae
Source: RefSeq, a predicted model, not a curated record
ACCCACCCAUGCCGCAGACUUCUCAUGAAUCAGAGCUCUGUCCAUGGGCCUGCAGGAUGAAGUGAUCAGUGGAGCUUGGCCAUCCGUGAAAUGUUCAGACACUUGGGGCAGAGGGAUAUGACAAAACGAAUAAAGAAUGGAAACAGAUGGACUUUUUAUCUUGCACAGAAUGAAGACACACUUAAUUCUUUUUGUCCGUGAUGUAAUCCAAUAUUGAUCUAUAGCCAGAGAUUCUGAUGAUAAAUCCAUUCACUGAAUUAUUCAAGGUGUAAAAAUGGUCAAGAUUAAGAUCCCCCAUCAAAUCCACAAACUGUCUGCCUAGGAAGUGUAAAACUGUUCUUGUUCCUGAGUGUAUCAGUUUCCUUUCUCUCCCCCUGAUAUCAUAAUUGUUUUUAAUGUUUUCCCUCACUAUUCUAUGGAAAAACAUCAUCCACAAAGCCAGACACAGUCAGCAUAUGAAUGCCAGAAAUAUACAGGCUGGGUGUGACCUCAAUGAUCAGUUAAACAAGGUCAGAUGGAGGUUGGUAAAUCAGUCGUAUGUGCAAGAGGCUCCAUAGGGAUGAUUCCUGUGUCUUGCUAGCAGCUGCUAACAGUAACUGCAAUAAUGCUCUCUUAUGCCUGCGUGGUGUUCCCAGAUAGCCAUUUAGCAUUAUAACAACAACUUUGAUCUGAUUAAUGCGGCGCUGCAACGAUUUCAAUAGGAAGCAGUAGUAGCAUGCCUUGGAGUAUAUUAACCUAACAUUAAGCAGCUACAGAUGGCCUUUUUGUGCUGGAGGGAAGAAAAUGUAACUUUGUAUUGCUGAAUCCUCUUGGAAUCACAUAUCGUGGGCAGUAUCACCCCUAAGCAUAAAAAUCACAUGCUUCCUACAUUAUUGUGUUUUUGUAUUUGGGGAUCUUCAUCAUUUGAGAACAGAACAUUAAUCAGCCAAGCUUUUUUCCUGUGAAGAUAAUCCAUAUGACACUACAUGGCAAGGUGUUAAAACAGUGAGGCCAGGCCUCCAAGCCAAAU